Long non-coding RNA from Passer domesticus (house sparrow), 2236 nucleotides. RefSeq lists it as uncharacterized. The transcript is spliced from 4 exons. Lineage: Eukaryota; Metazoa; Chordata; Aves; Passeriformes; Passeridae. The record is from RefSeq and is a predicted model, not a curated record.
UCUUAUACACCUGUGAGGUUGCUGCUCCCCGCCACCCAGCUGCUCCUGAGAUUCUCACACGUGAAUAACUGCGCCUGUAUGGGAACACUCAGAGAAAAUGUCACAGAGGUUUUGAAAUGAUAACCAGAAAACACACUGUGAUGGUCUGACUGGGCCCGAAGCCACACCACCAAGCUGUGAUCUUGGCAAAACCCACAAGGUAAAUAAGGCUGGGCACAAAGUACAACUGGAUGGGAGGCAUGUGAGUGCUGAAGGAUGAGAUCCUGGCGAUUCAGACAGCAGCGCAAGCUCAUCUGAAACAAUGUUCCGGCACAGUGCCAAGAGUGCUCUAGAGUGGUGUGGAGAUGCAAGAAAACACUACCAUGCUGCUUUGCAAGAAAGGAUGUGCUCCAUGGGUUCCAAAUCACCUCUACAUGGGCUUUGUAAGAUCAGCUGAUUCCCUCCGAGCUAAAAAACACCGAGGAGAUGCCAAGUCACAUUGUUUGGGCAAUUUUUUUUUGUUUAGUGUUGUGUAAUGGAACCAUCUGCAUGAGUACCAAUCAAUAAUCAAGGCAACCACGGCCAGAUGACAAAUCCCUCUGCUUCUGCAGGGACAAGACAACUUCUCUGCCAGUACAGAGGAUCCUCAGCCUUAAAUGGCUGAUUCACAGUUGGGCCAAAGCUGGAUCUUCCAGAGACUCUGAAAGGACAACUUCUGCCUCUGUGGGCUGUCUUUUCCAUGCUCUUCAGCUGAACCUCAGGGAGAAAGGAGUCCUGCUGGCAAGGACCUGUCUAAAGGAUAUGCUACUUCUUUUAGUGCUAUUGCACCAAAUGUUGAGAGCCAUGAGCAUUAAGCUAGUUAGUAGAUGGCAGCCACACUGAGAGAGCAUCCUCCUCAUGUAUGAGACUUAAAAAAGUCUGGGUACUUACUGGUUUAUAACAUCUUUACUAAAAAGAAGAAAACCAAGAAAAUCUCCAAACACUCAAGAUCCCUUCACAACCUAUUUUUGCAAAAUCCAGAAUCAGAUUCCAUUUCUCUGAGCACAUCCACUAUCUAAGCUGGAGAUAAGUUUCAGGAAGAAGAAAUCUUUACUCAUUUACCAAAAGAACUCUUCACUGAACUUUCAAAAAUGACUUCUGCAACAGCACAAAACUGGUCUUUUUACUUUAAAUGCAAAACCUUGGUAUGGAAGCACAGCUGAGUGUUAUAUAAUUUUUUUCUUCUAUUAUUCUCCAUUUCCUUUGCACAUGCCAGUCAAAACUAUAAAAUACUUGUGGGAGAAAUGCAGAAGGCACGGUUUCACAUUCCAAAAGAUCUAUUUCCAUGUGCUGCAUACGAGCCAGUCGACCACCCAGGAAAGGCAGGCAAACACACUUUGGCCCACCAGUGCUGCAGUUGCUGACGAGCAGCCCUUCUCUAGCAGAGCUUUACCCUGUAUUUCCUAUGAGAAAUAAGCAUCAAGCCUCACAAGCAGCCGAGCCUGUGGCUGCAUCACCUCUAAGUCUGCCCUGAAACAGUACUGACAAAGUACUCUCUCCUCUUGAGAAGUGGUGCCAAGUGCUAAAAUAUUUUUAAUAAACUGGCCACAAAAAAGGAAAUAAAAAGGAGUAGAUAACCUUAAUACAGAAUAUCACCUGCUUAUUUGUCAAAUCCUUCCAUCCUAUUCCUUUGCCCUCCAUCACAACACUUUCAGCCCAGUUUUAUUAGAGAAAUGAGAGUGAAGCUGGGUCAUCUGUAGUCUUGAGAAAGGGUAUGACCAGCUAUUUUCUCUCCCUAAGAACCCUGGACAAUGUUACUUUCUUUUCAUACAUCAGUCACAGAAAGGAUUGGUAACUGUUUCAGAGUCACUAAAAAUUAAUCAGUCCCUGAGAGGCCAAGCUGGUUGAGAAACUGCUGGCUCGAGCAAGAGAAGUAGGCAUGACUUGCCUUCAACAAAGCAGAAGGCAUUUGGUUUUAGUUAAAGGGGUGAAGGGUAGUAAAACUCGGCCAAGUAUUUAUUUAUUGGACCGAAGUGCCUGCAGCAAGAGAGGAGGGUGAGAUGGUGUAAAGUUUUUGUAAUCCCAACCUUGGAAGAGAAGCAAUUGAACUCUGGUUUCACUGUUGGAAUAAGACAGCACAGAAAAUCUUUGGUAUGUGCUGUAGAAAUGAUGAUUUAUAGAAGCAAUGGAGUGUCUGUGUGUGUGUAAAACCAAAAAAUAUCUAAAAGCCCUAAAGCUUUCCCACGACAAUACCUUUUCUUUAACCUGUUGGCCAUUA